RNAcentral lists this ribosomal RNA (502 nucleotides) under Lysinibacillus macroides. RNAcentral's name for it is "bacterial SSU rRNA". It matches the Rfam family "Bacterial small subunit ribosomal RNA", at positions 167 to 655 of the family's 1533-position model. Lineage: Bacteria; Bacillati; Bacillota; Bacilli; Caryophanales; Bacillaceae. The record is from RNAcentral.
UACCGAAUAAUCUCUUUUGCUUCAUGGUGAAAGACUGAAAGACGGUUUCGGCUGUCGCUAUAGGAUGGGCCCGCGGCGCAUUAGCUAGUUGGUGAGGUAACGGCUCACCAAGGCGACGAUGCGUAGCCGACCUGAGAGGGUGAUCGGCCACACUGGGACUGAGACACGGCCCAGACUCCUACGGGAGGCAGCAGUAGGGAAUCUUCCACAAUGGGCGAAAGCCUGAUGGAGCAACGCCGCGUGAGUGAAGAAGGUUUUCGGAUCGUAAAACUCUGUUGUAAGGGAAGAACAAGUACAGUAGUUACUGGCUGUACCUUGACGGUACCUUAUUAGAGAGCCGCGGCUAACUACGUGCCAGCAGCCGCGGUAAUACGUAGGUGGCAAGCGUUGUCCGGAAUUAUUGGGCGUAAAGCGCGCGCAGGCGGUCCUUUAAGUCUGAUGUGAAAGCCCACGGCUCAACCGUGGAGGGUCAUUGGAAACUGGGGGACUUGAGUGCAGAAGA